Molecule: long non-coding RNA, 1226 nt
Organism: Erigeron canadensis
Lineage: Eukaryota; Viridiplantae; Streptophyta; Magnoliopsida; Asterales; Asteraceae
Exons: 2
Source: RefSeq, a predicted model, not a curated record
GAUGAUAUAGAUUAUUAAAGGUACUUUUUUUUUUAUCCCAAAUAAAGCAUGAACUAGAAUUUAUUUAGGGGAUUAGUUGAUUGAAAUAGAUCGUAUGUUAACCUUGUGAGGCUAUGACUCAUGAUUGGGAUUUUUGUUAUUCCCUUUUUAUCUAAUUUUUAUUUUUAAAAACUAUUUGUCAUGAUAUUAGCUUAUUGAUCUCUUUUUUUGUAGGUUUUCUCUCUUUCGAAAUCAUGACAUUAGUUUAUUGAUGAUGCUUUUGUACUAAUAUUCUCGACAUUAUAUUGAUAUUUGUUUAUUGAUGAUGGGGAUUUGUUUAUAUGAAUAACAUAGGAUAUUGUUUUUGGUUGGAAUUCAAAAUAUUCGCAGGCUUGAUUAAAGUAUUGAAGAAGCCUGAAGAUAGAAUGUGUGCGACAUCAGUAUUGAAGCAGAUCGUCCUUGGCCUUGAGCAGUUGCUGCAACUGCAAGCUUUUCGUUGUGGCGGGUAAGUUUAUAUGGUUGAAGAGAAAUAUUGGAAAAAAACCCUUUUAGCAUGGAGGAUGUGUUUGUGGAUAGACAUAAAACAACCCACCUGUGAGAGGUUAUGGCGAUGCUCGGGUUCUACGUGCAGGAUAAGGUCUUGAGUUAUGGGACUGUGAAGGAAUGGUUGUUAUGUAAUUGCGGGCGCAUGCUACUCUGAUGGUCAAGAUGGAGGAUACGAGACCUUAUAUGAACGUGAUAACCAUUCUUAUUUGACACCAGCCUUUUCUGUUCAUAAAAUUGCAGCAGGGAAGAUGGCAAGUGUGUGGAGAAACAAUAGCAAAUGUAGCAAGUGGAUAUGCAAAAAUCUCUUUAGGGUGAAGUAGCUUAAACGUCUUACCGCACUACUUGUGUUUUUAGCGAUGUUAAAUUCAGGUAUAAGAGUUUACUCAAAUAGAACUCAACAACCACCAGGUGAUGAUAAUUUACUAAUGUUGCCUUGUUAUAUCUAUCUCUAAGGGUGAUCAAGAUGCUGAUUUUUUGGAAGAGGGUGAAAGAACCACUAUUGGUCAGUAACACUUUGAAUAGGCUUCUCAGUUGAACUAUUGGUUGGAAGUAAGAUGCACUCCAUUAUAUGAUCUGUUUCACAAUUUCUUGAUGUAUUUACUGAAUAAAAUCUCCAAUAAUUCACUUGUGUUUCUUUUAAGAUACAUGUAUGUAAUGUUGUUGCCUGGUUGGUUAAAUGCUCCAUCCUUUUAUGAAUUGAA